GCCCGAUGAACCUGAAUAUCCAUUAUGGAAAAUUCAUCAUUAGAAUUGUAAUAUUUAAACAAUAUUAUAAUAAUAGUGUGCAUUUUUUCCAUAUAAGGACAUUGUAAUCUAUUAGCAUAUUAAUUUAUCAUAAAAUUAUGGCAUAUUGUUUAUUUCAAUUAAAAUGCUUGCGUUUUAACAUGAAAUAAAAGUUGUAAAUUUGAUAAAGUGCUGAUAGAUUUAUAAGAAUACAGUGCGUUAAUUUUUCGGAAUUAUAUAAUGGCAUGAUUAUCAUUGAUUUUUAUGUUUAUUAUAUGCACUUGUAUGAUUAACAAUGCGAAAGAUUCAGGAUACUUCGGG
RNAcentral lists this ribosomal RNA (339 nucleotides) under Drosophila buzzatii. RNAcentral's name for it is "eukaryotic LSU rRNA". Lineage: Eukaryota; Metazoa; Arthropoda; Insecta; Diptera; Drosophilidae. The record is from RNAcentral.